RNAcentral lists this ribosomal RNA (389 nucleotides) under Biecheleria sp. RNAcentral's name for it is "partial small subunit ribosomal RNA". It matches the Rfam family "Eukaryotic small subunit ribosomal RNA", at positions 582 to 975 of the family's 1831-position model. Lineage: Eukaryota; Dinophyceae; Suessiales; Biecheleriaceae. The record is from RNAcentral.
AUUCCAGCUCCAAUAGCGUAUAUUAAAGUUGUUGCGGUUAAAAAGCUCGUAGUUGGAUUUCUGCCGAGGAUGACCGGUCCGCCCUGUGGGUGUGCAUCUGGCUCAGCCUUGGCAUCUUCCUGAAGAACGUAGCUGCACUUGACUGUGUGGUGCGGUAUUUAGGACAUUUACUUUGAGGAAAUUAGAGUGUUUCAAGCAAGCGCACGCUUUGAAUACAUUAGCAUGGAAUAAUAAGAUAGGACCUCGGUUCUAUUUUGUUGGUUUCUAGAGCUGAGGUAAUGAUUGAUAGGGAUAGUUGGGGGCAUUCGUAUUUAACUGUCAGAGGUGAAAUUCUUGGACCGUUUGAAGACAAGCUACUGCGAAAGCAUUUGCCAAGAAUGUUUUCAUUA